RNAcentral lists this ribosomal RNA (484 nucleotides) under uncultured bacterium. RNAcentral describes it as "partial 16S ribosomal RNA". It matches the Rfam family "Bacterial small subunit ribosomal RNA", at positions 30 to 507 of the family's 1533-position model. The record is from RNAcentral.
AUUGAGCGCUGGCGGCAGGCCUAACACAUGCAAGUCGAGCGGAUGAAGGGAGCUUGCUCCUGGAUUCAGCGGCGGACGGGUGAGUAAUGCCUAGGAAUCUGCCUGGUAGUGGGGGAUAACGUCCGGAAACGGGCGCUAAUACCGCAUACGUCCUGAGGGAGAAAGUGGGGGAUCUUCGGACCUCACGCUAUCAGAUGAGCCUAGGUCGGAUUAGCUAGUUGGUGGGGUAAAGGCCUACCAAGGCGACGAUCCGUAACUGGUCUGAGAGGAUGAUCAGUCACACUGGAACUGAGACACGGUCCAGACUCCUACAGGAGGCAGCAGUGGGGAAUAUUGGACAAUGGGCGAAAGCCUGAUCCAGCCAUGCCGCGUGUGUGAAGAAGGUCUUCGGAUUGUAAAGCACUUUAAGUUGGGAGGAAGGGCAGUAAGUUAAUACCUUGCUGUUUUGACGUUACCAACAGAAUAAGCACCGGCUAACUUCGUG